AUGAACGCUGGCGGCGUGCCUAAUACCUGCAAGUCGAGCGAACGGACGAGAAGCUUGCUUCUCUGAUGUUAGCGGCGGACGGGUGAGUAACACGUGGAUAACCUACCUAUAAGACUGGGAUAACUUCGGGAAACCGGAGCUAAUACCGGAUGAUAUUUUGAACCGCAUGGUUCAAAAGUGAAAGACGGUCUUGCUGUCACUUAUAGAUGGAUCCGCGCUGCAUUAGCUAGUUGGUAAGGUAACGGCUUACCAAGGCAACGAUGCAUAGCCGACCUGAGAGGGUGAUCGGCCACACUGGAACUGAGACACGGUCCAGACUCCUACGGGAGGCAGCAGUAGGGAAUCUUCCGCAAUGAGCGAAAGCCUGACGGAGCAACGCCGCGUGAGUGAUGAAGGUCUUCGGAUCGUAAAACUCUGUUAUUAGGGAAGAACAUAUGUGUAAGUAACUGUGCACAUCUUGACGGUACCUAAUCAGAAAGCCACGGCUAACUACGUG
RNAcentral lists this ribosomal RNA (496 nucleotides) under uncultured bacterium. RNAcentral describes it as "partial 16S ribosomal RNA". It matches the Rfam family "Bacterial small subunit ribosomal RNA", at positions 29 to 507 of the family's 1533-position model. The record is from RNAcentral.